AGAUAGCAAGAACUGGCCCAAUAGAACUAGACGCACCAGGCACUCUAUCCUGUAACUGCACUUAAGGAUCUCUCAUUGAUCUGGAGCUGACGAAGUAAGGAAAUGGAAACAGCCUAAAUGUCCCUCAAGUGAUA
Molecule: long non-coding RNA, 134 nt
Organism: Nannospalax galili (Upper Galilee mountains blind mole rat)
Lineage: Eukaryota; Metazoa; Chordata; Mammalia; Rodentia; Spalacidae
Exons: 3
Source: RefSeq, a predicted model, not a curated record